GGUUUUAGACCUAAAGACCAGUUUACUGGAUCGUUAUAUGCAAUUUGAACAAUUGGAGGGAUCAAGUCCCAAUUCCUAAUAUUUUUCUGGACUAGAGACUGUAAUAAAUUGUCAGGAUUUUGGUUAGCACUUUUGUUUUGACCAUCAAUUUGAGGUUGGUCAGUGGUGGAUAAUUUUGCCUUAGUGUUAACCACAGGUGACUGGAUUUUUCAAGGGUGACUGGUGACAUCAUCAAGCUCUUUAACUUGGGUAUGGGUAUGACAUAUAACAUGUGAUCGAGAAUUGUCGGACAUAAGGGAUAUAGUAUCCAAAGUCUCGAGAAGAGUCUGGAUUCCACCUAAGGAAGUGUCCUCACUAUUAUCCAAGUCAUCAAAAUCUUCAAGUUUAGGUUCAUAGACUAGAUCUUCUAACGGCUCCUCUAUUACAUUCUUUCGUUCUUUCAUGACUAGGGUUCGAUUAGGACAUUUAGAAGAAAUGUGACCAAAGUCUUUACAGUUGACGCACAACAAGUGAGAAGAAGACCUUGGAGUUUCAGAAAUUCUACCCUGAUUUUUCAAAAUUGGAAAACCAUUAGAAGGGGGAGGUCCUAUAAGGGACUUAACGGGAGGAGGUGGAGCCAAUGAAGCCAAAUGAUGAUUAUAAAAAAUAUUACCCUUAUUUUUCAAAAUUGGAGGAAUAUCAGACGGGAGAGGUCCUAGAAGGGACUUAACGGGAGGAAUUGGAGCCAAUGACACCGAAGAAUGAUUGUCCAUAUGCUUUCUACAUGGAAAAGAAGAUCUUGGACUAUCACAACCUUUACAAUUAUUUUUCCAAAUAGGAGGAACAUUAGACGGAGACGGUUUUAUGAUAGACUUAUGAUGAGACGACGCUAAUGAGAUGGGUGAGCGACGAUGACCACGCUUUUCAUAUGGAGUACUAAUAAUCAACUCAUAAUCUCGAGCUAAAGAGUAAGCGUGAUCAAGAGUAG
RNAcentral lists this long non-coding RNA (967 nucleotides) under Olea europaea (common olive). RNAcentral describes it as "long non-coding RNA (OEUR_LNC008233)". Lineage: Eukaryota; Viridiplantae; Streptophyta; Magnoliopsida; Lamiales; Oleaceae. The record is from RNAcentral.